RNAcentral lists this unclassified non-coding RNA (376 nucleotides) under soil metagenome. RNAcentral's name for it is "partial contains 5.8S ribosomal RNA, internal transcribed spacer 2, and large subunit ribosomal RNA". The stretch from base 6 to 121 matches the Rfam family "5.8S ribosomal RNA", at positions 39 to 154 of the family's 154-position model. The record is from RNAcentral.
GAUGAAAGAACGCAGCGAAAUGCGAUAAGUAAUGUGAAUUGCAGAAUUCAGUGAAUCAUCGAAUCUUUGAACGCACAUUGCGCCCGCCAGUAUUCUGGCGGGCAUGCCUGUUCGAGCGUCAUUUCAACCCUCAAGCCCCAGUGGCCUGGUGUUGGGGACCGGCGACCUCGCCCGGGGACACCUCGCGUGCCCCCCCGGUGCGUCCGCCGCCCCCGAAAUGAAUUGGCGGCCCCGUCGCGGCCUCCUCUGCGUAGUAGCACAACCUCGCAGCGGGAGCGCGACGCGGCCACUGCCGUAAAACGCCCAACUUUUUUAGAGUUGACCUCGGAUCAGGUAGGAAUACCCGCUGAACUUAAGCAUAUCAAUAAGCGGAGGA